This 1341-nucleotide ribosomal RNA is filed under the name uncultured bacterium. RNAcentral describes it as "partial 16S ribosomal RNA". It matches the Rfam family "Bacterial small subunit ribosomal RNA", at positions 28 to 1381 of the family's 1533-position model. The record is from RNAcentral.
GACGAACGCUGGCGGCGUGCUUAACACAUGCAAGUCGAACGGUAAGGCUCCAGCUUGCUGGGGUACACGAGUGGCGAACGGGUGAGUAACACGUGGGUGACCUGCCCUGCACUUCGGGAUAAGCCUGGGAAACUGGGUCUAAUACCGGAUAGGACCGCACCGUGAGGGUGUGGUGGAAAGUUUUUUCGGUGUGGGAUGGGCCCGCGGCCUAUCAGCUUGUUGGUGGGGUAAUGGCCUACCAAGGCGGCGACGGGUAGCCGGCCUGAGAGGGUGGACGGCCACAUUGGGACUGAGACACGGCCCAGACUCCUACGGGAGGCAGCAGUGGGGAAUAUUGCACAAUGGGCGGAAGCCUGAUGCAGCGACGCCGCGUGGGGGAUGACGGCCUUCGGGUUGUAAACUCCUUUCACCAUCGACGAAGGGUUUCUGACGGUAGAUGGAGAAGAAGCACCGGCUAACUACGUGCCAGCAGCCGCGGUAAUGCGUAGGGUGCGAGCGUUGUCCGGAAUUACUGGGCGUAAAGAGCUCGUAGGUGGUUUGUCGCGUCGUCUGUGAAAUUCCGGGGCUUAACUCCGGGCGUGCAGGCGAUACGGGCAUAACUUGAGUACUGUAGGGGAGACUGGAAUUCCUGGUGUAGCGGUGAAAUGCGCAGAUAUCAGGAGGAACACCGGUGGCGAAGGCGGGUCUCUGGGCAGUAACUGACGCUGAGGAGCGAAAGCAUGGGGAGCGAACAGGAUUAGAUACCCUGGUAGUCCAUGCCGUAAACGGUGGGCGCUAGGUGUGGGUUUCCUUCCACGGGAUCCGUGCCGUAGCUAACGCAUUAAGCGCCCCGCCUGGGGAGUACGGCCGCAAGGCUAAAACUCAAAGGAAUUGACGGGGGCCCGCACAAGCGGCGGAGCAUGUGGAUUAAUUCGAUGCAACGCGAAGAACCUUACCUGGGCUUGACAUAUACAGGAUCGCGCCAGAGAUGGUGUUUCCCUUGUGGCUUGUAUACAGGUGGUGCAUGGUUGUCGUCAGCUCGUGUCGUGAGAUGUUGGGUUAAGUCCCGCAACGAGCGCAACCCUUGUCUUAUGUUGCCAGCACGUUGUGGUGGGGACUCGUAAGAAACUGCCGGGGUUAACUCGGAGGAAGGUGGGGAUGACGUCAAAUCAUCAUGCCCCUUAUGUCCAGGGCUUCACACAUGCUACAAUGGUCGGUACAGUGGGUUGCCAGUCCGUGAGGGCGAGCUAAUCCCGCAAAGCCGGUCUCAGUUCGGAUCGGGGUCUGCAACUCGACCCCGUGAAGUCGGAGUCGCUAGUAAUCGCAGAUCAGCAACGCUGCGGUGAAUACGUUCCCGGGCCU